Long non-coding RNA from Vicia villosa (hairy vetch), 1352 nucleotides. RefSeq lists it as uncharacterized. The transcript is spliced from 4 exons. NCBI's taxonomy places the organism in Eukaryota, Viridiplantae, Streptophyta, Magnoliopsida, Fabales, Fabaceae. The record is from RefSeq and is a predicted model, not a curated record.
UCUCUCUUCGUUUUCUCUCUCUUUCAUUCCUCCAACCCUAAUAUUCAGUCACUCUCUCUUUCUUUCUCUCCCACCGAAAAUAAUGGGAAAAGCUUUGUAUCAAAGCAAUAAACUGUUUCCGAUGACAAAGAUGAGUUAGUGAAUCACAUUGGCCUCUCACAUCCUACACUGUUUCCGAUCUGUUCCCUCUAUAAACCUUCUGAGACCCAUAGCAAACUGCAUAAACUCAUGUCAAGAUCGAAGACAAAGAUACGAAGCCAACAGCAGAAACCCAUAACCACACUAAUCUUCGUCUCCGAUUCUAUGGUAUCUUAGAAACCCAUCUUUCAUUUCAAUCUCUCUUUCACUAUUUCUCACUGUGAGUUCAUAGUUGGAACUUAGAUCUAUUUUUAGAUCUUAAAAAGAGUUUACGGGAAAAAGUUUAUCAGAAUAGGUCUUGAAUUAGUAGAUCUAUGGUGUUUUUAUUUAUUUUUGCUAGGAUUUUAAUUUCAAAAGAAAGAAGCAGGAUUUACAUGUGGUGACCAUAUUUGCUAAUAGGGAGAGAAAAAUUGGUGAUUUAAUUGCAAAGUUUAUGGAGAGAGUUGGAAAAGAAGGUGUUAUCACAAUUGUUGGCUCAAUGAAUUCAUGAAUAUGAAGUGAGAGAAAAAGAUGAUGAUUGCAAGAAAAAUAUAUGAUUAAAGACAAAGAAAGGACAUGAUUCAUUGAAAGAUGAAGGAAUGCAGGAUUUGUUGACAAAAGGGUGAAGAUGAUACAACUGAAAGCAUGCGACCAUUUUAUGUUGAAACGUGAUCGCCCACCAUCUAUUAUAAUUCUCUGUCUUGUGUGAGAUGCAGCUGCUAGGUUGCCUGGAAGUACUGGUACUAGAGCAGAUGUUUGUACAUUAAUUUGAUAUUCUCAAUAUGUUGUUGAUGAUGUCACUGAUGCACAAAUUAACCAAGUAGUUGGUGGAGCUUUGGAUAGAUUGCAUUAUGAACGUGAUCUUUGUGUGCAAUUUGAUGGUGAGAGGAAAAUGUGGGCUUAUUUGCAUAGAGAUAUAGAAGAAGAAGAUUUUGAGGAUGAUGUCACGUCAUCCACAAAGAAAUGGAAGAGGCAGAAAAAAGAUGUUGCUGAUAAAUCCGAUCAGCCCCCAGUAACUGUUGCCUGUAAUGGGCUGUUGAGCAAAGUGGAUAUGAUUUGUGCUCUGAUCUCAAUGUGGAUCCAUCAUGCAUUGAAGAUGAUAAGGGAGUAGUCUAACUUAUUUCUAUUGAUACAAGGCUGAUUGUACAAUAAUAACAUAUAUAUUAUGGUACUUGAUAGUUAUUGAGAACAGUUAUUCACUACACUAUUAAUCAUUGUUCUUAAUUGAUUAAUAA